RNAcentral lists this ribosomal RNA (497 nucleotides) under uncultured bacterium. Its description in RNAcentral is "partial 16S ribosomal RNA". It matches the Rfam family "Bacterial small subunit ribosomal RNA", at positions 28 to 507 of the family's 1533-position model. The record is from RNAcentral.
GAUGAACGCUGGCGGCGUGCCUAAUACAUGCAAGUCGAGCGAACAGAUGAGGAGCUUGCUCCUCUGACGUUAGCGGCGGACGGGUGAGUAACACGUGGAUAACCUACCUAUAAGACUGGGAUAACUUCGGGAAACCGGAGCUAAUACCGGAUAAUAUAUUGAACCGCAUGGUUCAAUAGUGAAAGACGGUUUUGCUGUCACUUAUAGAUGGAUCCGCGCCGCAUUAGCUAGUUGGUAAGGUAACGGCUUACCAAGGCAACCAUGCGUAGCCGACCUGAGAGGGUGAUCAGCCACACUGGAACUAAGAGACGGUCCAGACUCCUACGGGAGGCAGCAGUAGGGAAUCUUCCGCAAUGGGCGAAAGCGUGACGGAGCAACGCCGCGUGAGUGAUGAAGGUCUUCGGGUCGUAAAACUCUGUUAGUAAGGAAGAACAAAUGUGUAAGUAACUAUGCACGUCUUGACGGUACCUAAUCAGAAAGCCACGGCUAACUACGUG